GGGGAAUCUUGCACAAUGGAGGAAACUCUGAUGCAGCGACGCCGCGUGAGCGGAGAAGCCUUUCGGGGUGUAAAGCUCUUACGCCAGGGACGAUAAUGACGGUACCUGGAGAAGCAGCUGCGGCUAACUACGUGCCAGCAGCCGCGGUAAUACGUAGGCAGCAAGCGUUGUUCGGAAUUACUGGGCGUAAAGGGUGCGUAGGCGGCGCUCUAAGUUCGGUGUGAAAUCUCCCGGCUUAACUGGGAGGGUGCACUGAAAACUGGGGCGCUCGAGUAUGGGAGAGGAAAGCGGAAUUCCUGGUGUAGCGGUGAAAUGCGUAGAGAUCAGGAGGAACACCUGCGGUGCAGACGGCUUUCUGGACCAUCACUGACGCUGAGGCACGAAAGCGUGGGUAGCAAACA
RNAcentral lists this ribosomal RNA (401 nucleotides) under uncultured bacterium. RNAcentral's name for it is "bacterial SSU rRNA". It matches the Rfam family "Bacterial small subunit ribosomal RNA", at positions 356 to 774 of the family's 1533-position model. The record is from RNAcentral.